AAACCAUGGUGUGGACAUUGAGAUUGGUAGCCCUUGAAUCUCUCUCAGGCUUCACUGAAGCCUUCCAAGUUCUUCUGUUGAAAGCUGGAAAUCUCAUUUCUCAGCUU
RNAcentral lists this small nucleolar RNA (107 nucleotides) under Brassica napus (rape). Its description in RNAcentral is "Plant small nucleolar RNA R71". It matches the Rfam family "Plant small nucleolar RNA R71". Rfam says of the family: R71 is a member of the C/D box family of snoRNAs containing the C (UGAUGA) and D (CUGA) box motifs. Multiple nearly identical copies of this snoRNA have been identified in Arabidopsis, and it is thought to function as a 2'-O-ribose methylation guide for 18S ribosomal RNA. The record is from Rfam by way of RNAcentral. Lineage: Eukaryota; Viridiplantae; Streptophyta; Magnoliopsida; Brassicales; Brassicaceae.